AACAUUGCAUCCUGCACUAGUGCAUUUGUAAUAGCUCCUUGGAUGGGGAUUCCCUUUGACCACCUUCUGGCCAUACUUGCGCCACCUGUAGCCAUCAUCCAAAAGAUCAACUUCGCUUCUUGUUUGAACAAUGAUUUUCGGUUCUGUGACUGUCUUGUGUGGUAAAGCAGCCUCAGAUGUCCCAACAUCUGUAUGCCUUCUUUUUGGUUUUGGCUCAUCAUCAUCAUCCCCGUCUUCUGGUCUUGUUGCUCGAUCACCUGCUUCCUCACUGUCACUUGAUCCAGGUAGUUCUAUGGGAUCUGCUUGAGUAGAUUCCUGCUCCCUCCCAUGCACUGAAUGACUUGGUAGUGUUUCACUCAACUUGUUCAUAUUACUAGCUUGAGAUUGGGAACUAAGUUCAAACUUAGCCUGAGAAUUUAUACCUCCGUUUAUGUCACUAUUAUCUUUUGCACGCUUAUUGGGUUGAGGCUGAUCAUGGUUGUGCAGGCCUUUAUAGAUGAUCUCAGUUAU
This 510-nucleotide unclassified non-coding RNA is filed under the name Hevea brasiliensis (rubber tree). Lineage: Eukaryota; Viridiplantae; Streptophyta; Magnoliopsida; Malpighiales; Euphorbiaceae. The record is from RNAcentral.